UCUUGGCAGGGUGCAAUGUGGUGUUCGGGAGGGUCCAUUCGCGCCUUGAGCUCUGGUGUCCAAGUCCCCCUGACCGGGGCCAUCGCCCGUUGAGGGUGCAAGGCCUGUUGGGCAGGGCUGUGUCUCCGAUCUCGGCGCGUCGGGUCCCUUCCUUGGAGUCGGGUUGCUUGAGAGUGCAGCCCAAAGUGGGUGGUAAACUCCACCUAAGGCUAAAUACUUUCCACGAGACCGAUAGCAAACAAGUACCGUGAGGGAAAGUUGCAAAGAACUUUGAAGAAAGAGUUCAAGAGUGCGUGAAACCGUUCGGAGGUAAACGGGUGGGAGCGCGAAGGUCCAACGGAUGGGGAGGGAUUCAACUUGGCGUGGCGGCUGGCCGAGCUUGGUUCGUGUCUGGGCGUGCGGGCCUCCCUUAACAGGGAGCUGCCUGCCGCCCCACAUUCCGCUCCGGCCGUAAUCCGCCGUGCCUUGUGCAUUUCCCUAUUCCCCCUCUCCUAAUAUGACGCCCCGACCGGCUAUCGAGGGGAGCCCUGCAUAUGGUUGGAGCAGUUAUGCGGAAGAGUAAGGGAUCAGUUGUAUGCGUCCGGUAGGUGUGUGUCGUUCCGCAGGCGGGUCGCUCCAUACGGAGGAGGAACUGUCCGAGCUGGACCCUUGGGGUCCAUCGUCCAUGUG
This 669-nucleotide ribosomal RNA is filed under the name Nannaria sp. n. 2109. RNAcentral's name for it is "partial large subunit ribosomal RNA". It matches the Rfam family "Eukaryotic large subunit ribosomal RNA", at positions 128 to 555 of the family's 3401-position model. The record is from RNAcentral. Lineage: Eukaryota; Metazoa; Arthropoda; Diplopoda; Polydesmida; Xystodesmidae.